GGGGCCCGCACAAGCGGUGGAGCAUGUGGUUUAAUUCGAUGCAACGCGAAGAACCUUACCUGGGCUUGACAUCCCGGGAAUCCCUUGGAAACAAGGGAGUGCCCUUCGGGGAGCCCGGAGACAGGUGCUGCAUGGCUGUCGUCAGCUCGUGUCGUGAGAUGUAGGGUUAAGUCCCGCAACGAGCGCAACCCUUGUCUUUAAUUGCCAUCAUUGAGUUGGGCACUUUAAAGAGACUGCCGGUGUUAAACCGGAGGAAGGUGGGAUGACGUCAAGUCCUCAUGGCCUUUGUGCCCAGGGCUACACACGUGCUACAAUGGGUGGUACAAAGAGCAGCCAGCUCGCGAGAGUAAGCAAAUCUCAAAAAGCCGUCCUCAGUUCGGAUUGGAGUCUGCAACUCGACUCCAUGAAGUUGGAAUCGCUAGUAAUCGCGGAUCAGCAUGCCGCGGUCGAAUACGUUCCCGGGCCUU
This 467-nucleotide ribosomal RNA is filed under the name uncultured Syntrophus sp. RNAcentral describes it as "bacterial SSU rRNA". It matches the Rfam family "Bacterial small subunit ribosomal RNA", at positions 916 to 1382 of the family's 1533-position model. Lineage: Bacteria; Pseudomonadati; Thermodesulfobacteriota; Syntrophia; Syntrophales; Syntrophaceae. The record is from RNAcentral.